This 459-nucleotide ribosomal RNA is filed under the name uncultured bacterium. RNAcentral describes it as "partial 16S ribosomal RNA". It matches the Rfam family "Bacterial small subunit ribosomal RNA", at positions 338 to 795 of the family's 1533-position model. The record is from RNAcentral.
CCUACGGGAGGCAGCAGUGAGGAAUAUUGGUCAAUGGGAGAGAUCCUGAACCAGCCAAGCCGCGUGAGGGAAGACGGCCCUAUGGGUUGUAAACCUCUUUUGUCGGAGAAAAAACCCCGGGACGUGUCCCGGACAGCGUGUAUCCGAAGAAAAAGCAUCGGCUAACUCCGGGCCAGCGGCCGAGGUAAUACGGGGGAUGCGAGCGUAGUCCGGAUUUAUGGGGUUAAAGGGGUGCGUGGGCGGUCCGUUAAGUCAGCGGUAAAGUUGCGGGGCGAAACCCCGUCUAGCCGUUGAAACUGGCAGACUUGAGUAGGCGAGAAGUACGCGGAAUGCGCGGUGUAGCGGUGAAAUGCAUAGAUAUCGCGAAGAACUCCGAUUGCGAAGGCAGCGUACCGGCGCCAGACUGACGCUGAGGCACGAAAGCGUGGGGAUCGAACAGGAUUAGAUACCCCAGUAGUC